AACGAACGUUAGCGGCGCGCCUAACACAUGCAAGUCGAGCGAGAAGGAAGCAAUGCCUGUAAAGCGGCGCACGGGUGAGUAACACGUAGGUAAUCUACCUCGAAGUGGUGGAUAACCUUCCGAAAGGAGGGCUAAUACAGCAUGAGACCACGGUUUCGAAAGAGAUUGAGGUCAAAGCGGGCCACUAUACAUAAGCACGCGCUUCGAGAUGAGCCUGCGGCCCAUCAUGGUAGUUGGUAGGGUAAUGGCCUACCAAGCCGAAGACGGGUAGCUGGUCUGAGAGGAUGAUCAGCCACACUGGAACUGAGACACGGUCCAGACUCCUACGGGAGGCAGCAGUGGGGAAUCUUGCGCAAUGGGCGAAAGCCUGACGCAGCGACGCCGCGUGAGUGAUGAAGGCCUCGGUUGUAAGACGUCUGUGGAGGGGGACGGAAGUAAGGGUUAGGGCGUAACGAUCCAGCUCGAUGACGGUACCCCGUUUACGUCAA
RNAcentral lists this ribosomal RNA (488 nucleotides) under uncultured bacterium. Its description in RNAcentral is "bacterial SSU rRNA". It matches the Rfam family "Bacterial small subunit ribosomal RNA", at positions 29 to 492 of the family's 1533-position model. The record is from RNAcentral.